RNAcentral lists this transfer RNA (361 nucleotides) under uncultured Microcystis sp. Its description in RNAcentral is "partial 16S-23S ribosomal RNA intergenic spacer". The stretch from base 136 to 209 matches the Rfam family "tRNA". Lineage: Bacteria; Bacillati; Cyanobacteriota; Cyanophyceae; Chroococcales; Microcystaceae. The record is from RNAcentral.
AAAGGGAGACCUAAUUCAGGUAGGAGACGAAAAAAAAGUAGUCCCUACCAGGAAUCAAUCCCAAAAGGUCGGAGCGAGGCGAAAUUGGCUUUCAAACUAGGUUCUGGGUUCAAACAAGACCUGAAUCAGGAACAAGGGCUAUUAGCUCAGGUGGUUAGAGCGCACCCCUGAUAAGGGUGAGGUCCCUGGUUCGAGUCCAGGAUGGCCCACCUGCACAGGUGGCAAAAACAAGAGAAGCGAGGAAUCAGCACCUUAUCUUACUGACAUAGUAAGAGAGAAUGCUGGCUCUGAGUAAAGAGUCCAGAGGAACCUUGAAAACUGCAUAGAGCUAGGUGAAAAAGCCAAAAAAGAAGACCGCAAG